Molecule: long non-coding RNA, 283 nt
Organism: Dreissena polymorpha
Lineage: Eukaryota; Metazoa; Mollusca; Bivalvia; Myida; Dreissenidae
Exons: 3
Source: RefSeq, a predicted model, not a curated record
GGAUGCAGCGUUGUGUCAGGAAGCAUUUUCCUUUUAUUUUUUCAGGUGCCCAAGACAGGAGAAAAGUGAACCUUAUUGCUGGGGACUCCAAUGUUCAUCGGAUUAAGGAUAUUCUUCCUGACGAUAUAGCUGUCAAAUGCCUGCCAAUCUCUGAGAUGUAGCUGACUUGUGCGAUUUGGUGCAUCAGUAGGCGCACAAUCGGUGUCCAGAAUGCAGGGUUGUUUGCUCCAACAGAGACGCUUUGCUGAGCCACUUCUGCAGUCGCCAUAUCAAGCAACCAGAG